ACAAUGGAGAGUUUGAUCCUGGCUCAGGACGAACGCUGGCGGCGUGCUUUAUACAUGCAAGUCAAGGAGAACGUUUUCUUCGGAAAACUAUUAAACUGGCGAACGGGUGAGUAACGCGUAGGCAACCUGCCCUAGAGAUUGGGAUAACAUCGGGAAACCGGUGCUAAUACCGAAUAAUGCAGCGGAUCCUUCGGGAUACAGUUGUUAAAGCGGGCUUCGGCUCGCACUUUAGGAUGGGCCUGCGUCCGAUUAGCUUGUUGGUGAGGUAACGGCCUACCAAGGCGAUGAUCGGUAGCUGGUCUGAGAGGAUGAUCAGCCACACUGGGAUUGAGAUACGGCC
Molecule: ribosomal RNA, 340 nt
Filed under: Acidimicrobiales bacterium
Lineage: Bacteria; Bacillati; Actinomycetota; Acidimicrobiia; Acidimicrobiales
Description: bacterial SSU rRNA
Rfam family: Bacterial small subunit ribosomal RNA
Source: RNAcentral